Molecule: ribosomal RNA, 850 nt
Filed under: uncultured bacterium
Lineage: Bacteria
Description: bacterial SSU rRNA
Rfam family: Bacterial small subunit ribosomal RNA
Source: RNAcentral
ACUGAGACACGGCCCAAACUCCUACGGGAGGCAGCAGUAGGGAAUCUUCCACAAUGGGCGAAAGCCUGAUGGAGCAACGCCGCGUGGGUGAAGAAGGUCUUCGGAUCGUAAAACCCUGUUGUUAGAGAAGAAAGUGCGUGAGAGUAACUGUUCACGUUUCGACGGUAUCUAACCAGAAAGCCACGGCUAACUACGUGCCAGCAGCCGCGGUAAUACGUAGGUGGCAAGCGUUAUCCGGAUUUAUUGGGCGUAAAGGGAACGCAGGCGGUCUUUUAAGUCUGAUGUGAAAGCCUUCGGCUUAACCGGAGUAGUGCAUUGGAAACUGGGAGACUUGAGUGCAGAAGAGGAGAGUGGAACUCCAUGUGUAGCGGUGAAAUGCGUAGAUAUAUGGAAGAACACCAGUGGCGAAAGCGGCUCUCUGGUCUGUAACUGACGCUGAGGUUCGAAAGCGUGGGUAGCAAACAGGAUUAGAUACCCUGGUAGUCCACGCCGUAAACGAUGAAUGCUAAGUGUUGGAGGGUUUCCGCCCUUCAGUGCUGCAGCUAACGCAAUAAGCAUUCCGCCUGGGGAGUACGACCGCAAGGUUGAAACUCAAAGGAAUUGACGGGGGCCCGCACAAGCGGUGGAGCAUGUGGUUUAAUUCGAAGCAACGCGAAGAACCUUACCAGGUCUUGACAUCUUCUGACAAUCCUAGAGAUAGGACUUUCCCUUCGGGGACAGAAUGACAGGUGGUGCAUGGUUGUCGUCAGCUCGUGUCGUGAGAUGUUGGGUUAAGUCCCGCAACGAGCGCAACCCUUAUUGUUAGUUGCCAGCAUUAAGUUGGGCACUCUAGCAAGACUGCCGGGGACAA